GGGUUGUGAGGUUAAGCGACUAAGCGUACACGGUGGAUGCCCUGGCAGUCAGAGGCGAUGAAGGACGUGCUAAUCUGCGAAAAGCGUCGGUAAGGUGAUAUGAACCGUUAUAACCGGCGAUGUCCGAAUGGGGAAACCCAGUGCAAUUCGUUGCACUAUCGUUAACUGAAUACAUAGGUUAACGAGGCGAACCGGGGGAACUGAAACAUCUAAGUACCCCGAGGAAAAGAAAUCAACCGAGAUUCCCCCAGUAGCGGCGAGCGAACGGGGAGCAGCCCAGAGUCUGAAUCAGCUUGUGUGUUAGUGGAACGGUCUGGAAAGUCCGACGGUACAGGGUGAUAGUCCCGUACACCAAAAUGCACAGGUUGUGAACUCGAAGAGUAGGGCGGGACACGUGGUAUCCUGUCUGAAUAUGGGGGGACCAUCCUCCAAGGCUAAAUACUCCUGACUGACCGAUAGUGAACCAGUACCGUGAGGGAAAGGCGAAAAGAACCCCGGCGAGGGGAGUGAAAAAGAACCUGAAACCGUGUACGUACAAGCAGUGGGAGCACCUUCGGGUGUGACUGCGUACCUUUUGUAUAAUGGGUCAGCGACUUAUAUUCUGUAGCAAGGUUAACCGUAUAGGGGAGCCGCAGGGAAACCGAGUCUUAACUGGGCGUUAAGUUGCAGGGUAUAGACCCGAAACCCGGUGAUCUAGCCAUGGGCAGGUUGAAGGUUGGGUAACACUAACUGGAGGACCGAACCGACUAAUGUUGAAAAAUUAGCGGAUGACUUGUGGCUGGGGGUGAAAGGCCAAUCAAACCGGGAGAUAGCUGGUUCUCCCCGAAAGCUAUUUAGGUAGCGCCUCGUGAAUUCAUCUUCGGGGGUAGAGCACUGUUUCGGCUAGGGGGUCAUCCCGACUUACCAACCCGAUGCAAACUACGAAUACCGAAGAAUGUUAUCACGGGAGACACACGGCGGGUGCUAACGUCCGUCGUGAAGAGGGAAACAACCCAGACCGCCAGCUAAGGUCCCAAAGUCAUGGUUAAGUGGGAAACGAUGUGGGAAGGCACAGACAGCCAGGAUGUUGGCUUAGAAGCAGCCAUCAUUUAAAGAAAGCGUAAUAGCUCACUGGUCGAGUCGGCCUGCGCGGAAGAUGUAACGGGGCUAAACCAUGCACCGAAGCUGCGGCAGCGACACUAUGUGUUGUUGGGUAGGGGAGCGUUCUGUAAGCCUGCGAAGGUGACCUGUGAGGGUUGCUGGAGGUAUCAGAAGUGCGAAUGCUGACAUAAGUAACGAUAAAGCGGGUGAAAAGCCCGCUCGCCGGAAGACCAAGGGUUCCUGUCCAACGUUAAUCGGGGCAGGGUGAGUCGACCCCUAAGGCGAGGCCGAAAGGCGUAGUCGAUGGGAAACAGGUUAAUAUUCCUGUACUUGGUGUUACUGCGAAGGGGGGACGGAGAAGGCUAUGUUAGCCGGGCGACGGUUGUCCCGGUUUAAGCAUGUAGGCUGAUUGUCCAGGCAAAUCCGGAUAAUCAAGGCUGAGGUGUGAUGACGAGGCACUACGGUGCUGAAGUAACAAAUGCCCUGCUUCCAGGAAAAGCCUCUAAGCAUCAGGUAACAUUAAAUCGUACCCCAAACCGACACAGGUGGUCAGGUAGAGAAUACCAAGGCGCUUGAGAGAACUCGGGUGAAGGAACUAGGCAAAAUGGUGCCGUAACUUCGGGAGAAGGCACGCUGGUGUGUAGGUGAAGCCCCUGCGGGUGGAGCUGAGACCAGUCGAAGAUACCAGCUGGCUGCAACUGUUUAUUAAAAACACAGCACUGUGCAAACACGAAAGUGGACGUAUACGGUGUGACGCCUGCCCGGUGCCGGAAGGUUAAUUGAUGGGGUUAUCCGUAAGGAGAAGCUCUUGAUCGAAGCCCCGGUAAACGGCGGCCGUAACUAUAACGGUCCUAAGGUAGCGAAAUUCCUUGUCGGGUAAGUUCCGACCUGCACGAAUGGCGUAAUGAUGGCCAGGCUGUCUCCACCCGAGACUCAGUGAAAUUGAACUCGCUGUGAAGAUGCAGUGUACCCGCGGCAAGACGGAAAGACCCCGUGAACCUUUACUAUAGCUUGACACUGAACAUUGAGCCUUGAUGUGUAGGAUAGGUGGGAGGCUUUGAAGCGUGGACGCCAGUCUGCGUGGAGCCAACCUUGAAAUACCACCCUUUAAUGUUUGAUGUUCUAACGUUGGCCCCUUACCGGGGUUGCGGACAGUGUCUGGUGGGUAGUUUGACUGGGGCGGUCUCCUCCCAAAGCGUAACGGAGGAGCACGAAGGUUAGCUAAUCCUGGUCGGACAUCAGGAGGUUAGUGCAAUGGCAUAAGCUAGCUUGACUGCGAGCGUGACGGCGCGAGCAGGUGCGAAAGCAGGUCAUAGUGAUCCGGUGGUUCUGAAUGGAAGGGCCAUCGCUCAACGGAUAAAAGGUACUCCGGGGAUAACAGGCUGAUACCGCCCAAGAGUUCAUAUCGACGGCGGUGUUUGGCACCUCGAUGUCGGCUCAUCACAUCCUGGGGCUGAAGUAGGUCCCAAGGGUAUGGCUGUUCGCCAUUUAAAGUGGUACGCGAGCUGGGUUUAGAACGUCGUGAGACAGUUCGGUCCCUAUCUGCCGUGGGCGCUGGAGAAUUGAGGGGGGCUGCUCCUAGUACGAGAGGACCGGAGUGGACGCAUCACUGGUGUUCGGGUUGUCAUGCCAAUGGCACUGCCCGGUAGCUAAAUGCGGAAGAGAUAAGUGCUGAAAGCAUCUAAGCACGAAACUUGCCCCGAGAUGAGUUCUCCCUGAGACUUUAAGUCUCCUGAAGGAACGUUGAAGACGACGACGUUGAUAGGCCGGGUGUGUAAGCGCAGCGAUGCGUUGAGCUAACCGGUACUAAUGAACCGUGAGGCUUAACCUUACAACGCCGAAG
This 2923-nucleotide ribosomal RNA is filed under the name Klebsiella pneumoniae. Its description in RNAcentral is "bacterial LSU rRNA". It matches the Rfam family "Bacterial large subunit ribosomal RNA". Lineage: Bacteria; Pseudomonadati; Pseudomonadota; Gammaproteobacteria; Enterobacterales; Enterobacteriaceae. The record is from RNAcentral.